UACAGAGGGGGCAAGCGUUGUUCGGAAUUACUGGGCGUAAAGGGCGCGUAGGCGGCCUGUUAAGUCGAACGUGAAAUCCCCGGGCUCAACCCGGGAACUGCGUCCGAUACUGGCAGGCUUGAAUUCGGGAGAGGGAUGUGGAAUUCCAGGUGUAGCGGUGAAAUGCGUAGAUAUCUGGAGGAACACCGGUGGCGAAGGCGGCAUCCUGGACCGAUAUUGACGCUCAGGCACGAAAGCGUGGGGAGCAAACAGG
This 253-nucleotide ribosomal RNA is filed under the name uncultured bacterium. RNAcentral's name for it is "partial 16S ribosomal RNA". It matches the Rfam family "Bacterial small subunit ribosomal RNA", at positions 524 to 776 of the family's 1533-position model. The record is from RNAcentral.